CAUCUAGGCGGGAUGUUAAGUCAGGUGUGAAAUUCCACGGCUCAACCGUGGACCUGCAUUUGAUACUGGCAUUCUUGAGUUCGGUAGAGGAAGGCGGAAUUCCCGGUGUAGCGGUGAAAUGCGUAGAUAUCGGGAAGAACACCGGUGGCGAAGGCGGCCUUCUGGACCUGGACUGACGCUGACAUGCGAAAGUGUGGGGGAUCAAACG
This 208-nucleotide ribosomal RNA is filed under the name uncultured bacterium. RNAcentral describes it as "partial 16S ribosomal RNA". It matches the Rfam family "Bacterial small subunit ribosomal RNA", at positions 568 to 774 of the family's 1533-position model. The record is from RNAcentral.